RNAcentral lists this ribosomal RNA (449 nucleotides) under uncultured bacterium. RNAcentral's name for it is "partial 16S ribosomal RNA". It matches the Rfam family "Bacterial small subunit ribosomal RNA", at positions 338 to 795 of the family's 1533-position model. The record is from RNAcentral.
CCUACGGGGGGCUGCAGUGGGGAAUAUUGCGCAAUGGGCGAAAGCCUGACGCAGCGACGCCGCGUGGGUGAUGAAGGCCUUCGGGUUGUAAAGCCCUGUCGGGUGGAACGAACGAUCUGGCGGCGAAUAACCGCCGAACCUUGACGUUACUGACAGAAGAAGCACCGUCUAACUCUGUGCCAGCAGCCGCGGUAAUACAGAGGGUGCAAGCGUUGAUCGGAAUCACUGGGGGUAAUGCGUGCGUGGUGUGAAAUCCCCGGGCUUAACCUGUGAACUGCAUUCGAUACUACAUGGCUAGAGUAUGGUAGAGGGAAGUGGAAUUUCCGGUGUAGCGGUGAAAUGCGUAGAUAUCGGAAGGAACACCAAUGGCGAAGGCAGCUUCCUGGACUAAUACUGACACUGAGGCACGAAAGCGUGGGUAGCAAACAGGAUUAGAUACCCUUGUAGUC